GCGACACUGAACUGGAGGACCCGGGGGGCGGACCCCAGAGGAACCUGGACUCCGAGAGAGGUUUCCUCCUGUUCAGGGAAGUCAGGUCAGCCCUGGGAGAAGCUGGUGCUCCAAUAUCGGGACCACACAGAGGCCGCCUGGCACUCUGGAACUACUCAACUGCAGCAGGCCAGAUGACCUGCGACUUCACCAGCUGGGCGCCCUUUGUGUCCACGAUGUGCCCGAGCGCGUGGAGCGCGCAUGCACGCCGCGCGAGAGCCUGCUCUGGACCGACUCUGUGCACGUGACCUGGCAGCGCGGUCAGAGAAGCUUCAGGUUCAAGGGCCAGGGAGCAGGAGCCUGGGUGACAGAGAUGGAAAGCUCCACGGUGGGAGGAACAUGUCCACAGUGGCUCCUUAUAACAUCCUCGGUGCCUGGCGGAGUGCAUAGCACAAGGUCAGAACUCCCCACACAGUGUAGCAGGGUCCUUCACUCAAGUUCUCACGAGGCUACAAUCAAUAUGAUGGCCAGGCUCGUCCUUAUCUGGAGGCUCAAGCAGGGAAGAAUUCACUUGUAAGCUCACCUGGGUUGCUGGCAGAACUCAUCUCCUUAUUGUUGUGAGAGUGAGGUGCCCGUUUGCUUGCUGACUGUCAGCUGGGGACCGCUCUUAGGAACCAGAGACCACUCAUGGUUGCUGCCAUCUGGCCCUCUCACAGCAUAGCAUCUUACUUCUUCAAAGCCAGCAGGGAAGUCUCUACAGCCUAUCACUUUGCCAUAUUCCAUUGGUCCGAAGCAAGUCCGGGUCCUGCUCACACCUGACGGGAGGGUAUUACACGAGACAUGACACCGAGGGAUGGAGAUCAUAGGGCCCUCUUAGAAUUCUGCUCUCUGUGGAUACCACGGUGGGUUUUGUUUUGAGGGUGUCAUACAGCACGGUCUGGUUGGCCCUCAGAAUUCUCUAAUCACAACCACCACAUCGCACAGCUUUCAGGGGAGCUGGAUCUACAAGGGCUCUGGAAUGACUGUGGAAACCAGACCCAAAAUGUCCCCAGGAGACCCCAUCAGGCCCAUAGUGACACCGUAGGAUAGAAUGGUGCCAGUGCCAUUGGGAGGAGGAAGUAUGUGUGUGUGCACGUGUGUGUGUGCAAGCCCUUCCUGAGAGCACAUCAAGAGAGACUGCCUGCCAUUCUGGCAUUUUCUGAAGUGGCUUUUUCCUGAGUUGUUGGUACACUCUGUGACAUGAGUCACACUGUCUCUUUAUUAAAAAUCCAUCUUCUCCA
Felis catus (domestic cat) is the source of this 1259-nucleotide long non-coding RNA. RefSeq lists it as uncharacterized. The record is from RefSeq and is a predicted model, not a curated record. The transcript has 3 exons. Lineage: Eukaryota; Metazoa; Chordata; Mammalia; Carnivora; Felidae.